Manis javanica (Malayan pangolin) is the source of this 1215-nucleotide non-coding RNA. The record is from RefSeq and is a predicted model, not a curated record. NCBI's taxonomy places the organism in Eukaryota, Metazoa, Chordata, Mammalia, Pholidota, Manidae.
GAAAAAUUUAAGUGAUGAGUAGGAACUGAUAUUAAGGGGCAAAGUAAGUGUUUUUGGUUUUGGUUUUGGCUGUUUUUGGCCAGGGGCUGGCUUUGUUUUACCUUACUCUGUGUUUGUUGUUUUUCUGUCUCUGCUCCAAGCAGGAUACCAGGUCUCUCAUUCACUGAGGAUUUUCUCCCAUUCCUUAAUUUGUAGCUGCUUUUCCUUAUAUCCAUGGCGCAUUUCCCCGUCAUGGACAGUAAUGUUGUUGAACUAACUGGAAGAUGAUGAAAAGAGCAGCACAAGAUGAAACACUCCUUCCCAGUGUAUAAUGUCAUCAUCAUUCUUUGUCAUAAGCUAACUGAACAGUAGAGAGUCCAGGUUGAAAGAAAAUGUUUGGUUUUAUACUUAUUUCUUUUGUUUAAACUUAGAGAAAUUAUAGGGAGCACUCUUUAAAAAUGUUGAAGUAUUUUAUUUGCGUGGAAUAUAUUUGCCAUGAAAAAGUACCACAAAAUAUAUAUAGUGGCUUAAUAGCAAAUGGUAGUUAGAGUUCAUAUUAUUUUGGAAGUCAUUGCCUUAUUAAGCUAUUUUCAAUAUUCUUUGUGGCCAAAUACAUUUUUAUUACUUGGCUAGUUCUUCCUCAUGUGGUCAUUAGAAACCUGUCUAGUGAAAUGCCAAUCACUGGAAAUUGUAAUUGGUGGAAUCUGUCAGGUGUAGGGUAAUUGAGACCUAUAGAAUUUGUUCCUCUUCCUCCAUUAAUAGGAAUGAAGAAAGUAAGUAGGCUUACUUGUUUUGAUAUGGAUUAGGAGAAAAGGAUCAAAGAAAUGCUUCUCUGUGGCAGAAAUGAGUAAAUUUUGUUGGUGUGAUUUUUUUCCUGCAUCUUAGAGGGAAUCAAGGAAACCUUGUGGAUAUGAGACCCUUGUUAUUGCAUUGGUUGGGGGAUUUGGGGUUUGUGGGUGAUAGUGAAGGGUUAUAGAAAGAGAGUAAAAUCUUUUUUAUCACGUAAUUUGAAAUCAGGAAAUUAUCACAGAAAUUUGCACUGCUUAUAGUAGAUAUAUGGAGAGCAUUGGUUUGCAGAGUAAUGUAAGCUUAAGCUCUUUGUUAGUUGGUUUCUUUUUUAAAAAUCUUUGUUGAUUUUUUCGCAGAUAUUUCGCAGAUUUCCAGUGGCCCCACUGAUCCCUUACCCACUCAUCACUAAGGAGGAUAUAAAUGCUAUAGAAAUGGAAGAGGACAAAA